This 484-nucleotide ribosomal RNA is filed under the name uncultured bacterium. RNAcentral's name for it is "partial 16S ribosomal RNA". It matches the Rfam family "Bacterial small subunit ribosomal RNA", at positions 30 to 507 of the family's 1533-position model. The record is from RNAcentral.
AUUGAACGCUGGCGGAAUGCUUUACACAUGCCAGUCGAACGGCAGCACGGGGGCAACCCUGGUGGCGAGUGGCGAACGGGUGAGUAAUACAUCGGAACGUGCCCGGUCGUGGGGGAUAACGUAGCGAAAGUUACGCUAAUACCGCAUACGAUCUGAGGAUGAAAGCGGGGGACCUUCGGGCCUCGCGCGAUCGGAGCGGCCGAUGUCAGAUUAGGUAGUUGGUGGGGUAAAGGCCUACCAAGCCGACGAUCUGUAGCUGGUCUGAGAGGACGACCGGCCACACUGGGACUGAGACACGGCCCAGACUCCUACGGGAGGCAGCAGUGGGGAAUUUUGGACAAUGGGCGCAAGCCUGACCCAGCCAUUCCGCGUGCAGGACGAAGGCCUUCGGGUUGUAAACUGCUUUUGUAUGGAACGAAAAGGCUCUGGCUAAUACCUGGGGCUCAUGACGGUACCGUAAGAAUAAGCACCGGCUAACUACGUG